AAAGCUCGUAGUUGAAUUUCGGGAUCAAUUUAUUGGUCGUGCUAUUGUACGUACUGGUAUUAUUGAUUCCUACCUUCUGACGAACCAUGAUGUCAUUAAUUUGGUGUCAUGGGGAAUCAGGACUGUUACUUUGAAAAAAUUAGAGUGUUUAAAGCAGGCUCACGCUUGAAUACAUUAGCAUGGAAUAACGAAAUAGGACGUUUGAUUCUAUUUUGUUGGUUUCUAGGAUCGACGUAAUGAUUAAUAGGGAUAGUUGGGGGCAUUAGUAUUCAAUUGUCAGAGGUGAAAUUCUUGGAUUUAUUGAAGACUAACUACUGCGAAAGCAUUUGCCAAGGAUGUUUUCAUUAAUCAAGAACGAAAGUUAGGGGAUCGAAGACGAUCAGAUACCGUCGUAGUCUUAACCAUAAACUAUGCCGACUAGGGAUCGGAUGAUGUUAAUUUUUUAAUGACUCAUUCGGCA
This 460-nucleotide ribosomal RNA is filed under the name uncultured Glomus. RNAcentral describes it as "SSU rRNA". It matches the Rfam family "Eukaryotic small subunit ribosomal RNA", at positions 623 to 1085 of the family's 1831-position model. Lineage: Eukaryota; Fungi; Glomeromycota; Glomeromycetes; Glomerales; Glomeraceae. The record is from RNAcentral.